GAUGAACGCUGGCGGCGUGCCUAACACAUGCAAGUCGAGCGAACGGACGAUGCUCUUGCUUUUCUCAUGUUACCAGCGGAUGGGUGAGUAACACGUGGAUUACCUUCCUCUACGACUUGGAUAACUUCGAGUAACUCUAGUUCCUACCAGAUAAUAUUUUUAAUCUGAUGGUUCGAAAGUUAUAUCCGUUCUUGCUGUCAUUUAUAGCUGUCUCCUCGCUGCAUUAGCUAGUUGGUAACGUAACGGCUUCCCAAGGCGACAAUGGAUAGCCGACCUGAGAGGGUGAACGGCCACAGAGGAAGUGAGACGCGGUACAGAGUCCGAGGGGAGGCAGAAGUAGGGAAGCGUGCGAGAAGGGGGAAAGACUGAAGGAGCAGCGCAGCGUGAGUGAUGAAGGGCUGCGGAGCGGAAAACGCUGUUAUGAGGGAAGAACAUAUGUGUAAGUGACGGAGCAUAUCGUGACGGUACCUAGUCAGAAAGCAACGGCUAACUACGUG
This 497-nucleotide ribosomal RNA is filed under the name uncultured bacterium. RNAcentral describes it as "partial 16S ribosomal RNA". It matches the Rfam family "Bacterial small subunit ribosomal RNA", at positions 28 to 507 of the family's 1533-position model. The record is from RNAcentral.